GACGAACGCUGGCGGCGUGCUUAACACAUGCAAGUCGAACGGAAAGGCCCUGCUUUUGUGGGGUGCUCGAGUGGCGAACGGGUGAGUAACACGUGAGUAACCUGCCCUUGACUUUGGGAUAACUUCAGGAAACUGGGGCUAAUACCGGAUAGGAGCUCCUGCUGCAUGGUGGGGGUUGGAAAGUUUCGGCGGUUGGGGAUGGACUCGCGGCUUAUCAGCUUGUUGGUGGGGUAGUGGCUUACCCAGGCUUUGACGGGUAGCCGGCCUGAGAGGGUGACCGGCCACAUUGGGACUGCGAUACGGCCCAGACUCCUACGGGAGGCAGCAGUGGGGAAUAUUGCACAAUGGGCGGAAGCCUGAUGCAGCAACGCCGCGUGCGGGAUGACGGCCUUCGGGUUGUAAACCGCUUUCGCCUGUGACGAAGCGUGAGUGACGGUAAUGGGUAAAGAAGCACCGGCUAACUACGUG
RNAcentral lists this ribosomal RNA (468 nucleotides) under uncultured bacterium. Its description in RNAcentral is "partial 16S ribosomal RNA". It matches the Rfam family "Bacterial small subunit ribosomal RNA", at positions 28 to 507 of the family's 1533-position model. The record is from RNAcentral.